CACAUUUUAAAAAUUAUCAAGAUAAGGUAGGUGCAAUUUAAAAAAAACAGUUUAUUCAUCAGCGAUUUCGGUGUCAGUGUCUAUAAUUUUCUUCUUUGGUAAUGCCACUUUAGCAUUGUGUAGAACAGGAUCCAAUGACCGAGUUGUGCAGCCCAUUAAGAGACCUAUUCAAUAAAGCAUUAGCCUUCUGCAGAGCCAAGUGGACUUGAGGCCUUUUAAAAACACAUGCGGUAAGCAGUUGUCUGUCUCUGAUUAUUACAGGAAAUAAACCACAUUUGUAAAUGGAGAUUACUGUAGAUUUGUCUGUAAACUUUACACAAUCUGUGUUUUAAGUAUUCAUUUCAUGGAUAACUUUGGAUUGAAAUUGGACAGUUCUCACUAAAACCAAAUGUGAAAUGUGAAAAGAGUUCUGACGGGGAAAAAAAUAUAUACGUAAAUUCUUUUAGCAAAUAUUUACAGAUCUAGCGCCUAAUCUCAAGUUAUUUAUUCAAAUAGCUUAAAGGACCACUAUAGUGCCAGGAAAACAUACUCGUUUUCCUGGCACUAUAGUGCCCUGAGGGUGCCCCCACCCUCAGGGUCCCCCUCCCGCCCGGCUCUGGAAGGGGGAAAGGUGUUAAAACUUACCUUUUUUCCAGCGCUGGGCGGGGAGCUCUCCUCCUCCGAUCCUCCUCUUCUCAUCCCCGUCGGCUCUUCUCUGAAACUGCUAUGUUUAUGAAAAAAUGGGUUAACCCUAGCUGGACCUGGCACCCAGACCACUUCAUUAAGCUGAAGUGGUCUGGGUGCCUAGAGUGGUCCUUUAAGAUUCUCUGAGGGGUGACAUGCAG
Non-coding RNA from Pelobates cultripes (western spadefoot toad), 824 nucleotides. Lineage: Eukaryota; Metazoa; Chordata; Amphibia; Anura; Pelobatidae. The record is from the annotation of a GenBank genome assembly.